RNAcentral lists this long non-coding RNA (971 nucleotides) under Marmota monax (woodchuck). Lineage: Eukaryota; Metazoa; Chordata; Mammalia; Rodentia; Sciuridae. The record is from RNAcentral.
GUCAGUUAGUUGUCCUGAAGUCAGAUGUAAGUUUUUUUAUAUCAGUGCCACAUUCUGUGUAAACAUCUCUGUCUUGUGAUGAAUUGCUAUAGCUGUUAAGAGAACACAUAAGUGGGAAAUAGAAGAGAAUAUAAAUCAUGGCAAAUAACAAGGACCCUAGGAAUGUCCUGUUUUGAUGGCUCCUCAAUUUUUAUCUUUUAUGUUGUUUGUCCUUGAAGAGUCAUGGCAAGAGCAUCCUGGCCCAGAGAUACACCAGGUCUUUGAAGCUGAUAAGGCUGUUCUUAGGGAGGUGGGCAAGGCACAUAAAAGCAUUUAAUAGCUAACAAUCUAUGAAUUAAGGUAGGAGAGCAUAGGAAUAAACUUAUUGUCUUUUAAUGUCUGUCAAGUCAUGAGUUAUGGUGCUCUCUGUCUGAGUAUUAAGAGUUAGUCUUGGGAUAGAAUUUAGUCAUUAGGGUGGAACCCUCAGAAAUGGGAUUUGUGCCUUUAUUUAAAAAGGCCCAUGGGAGUGUUAUAGAUUGGAUAUGAAGUAUCCUCCAAAAAGCUUAUGUGUUAGAAACAUGAUAUCCAACACAGCAAUGGUCAGAGGUGAAUAUUUAGAUUAUGAGAGCCAUAAACUGAUCAAAGUAAUGGAUUGCUGGGUAGUAACUGUGGACAGAUGGGGUCUUGCUGAAGGAAGUAGAUCACUGGGGGUGUACACUUUGGGAUAUUUUGUCUGUAAUUUCUUAUGUGUUCCCCACCCUGGUCUCUCUUUCCCUCUCUCUGUUUCCUGGCGGCCAUAAACUGAGCAGCUUUCCUCCUCCAUCAUGAUGUUCUUUCUCACCUUGGGCCUAGAACAAUGGAGUUGGCUGACCAUGGACCAAACUCCGGAAAUCAUGAACCCUAAAUAAACUUGUUCUCUAAGUUGUUCUUGUCAGGUAUUUUGAUUAGCACAGGGAGCUUAACCCCUCCUACCAUGUAAAGAUGUGGCAAGA